UGGGGAAUAUUGGACAAUGGAGGCAACUCUGAUCCAGCAAUUCUGUGUGUGUGAAGAAGGUUUUAGGACUGUAACACUUUUAGUAGGGAAGAAAGAAAUGACGGUACCUACAGAAGAAGCGACGGCUAAAUACGUGCCAGCAGCCGCGGUAAUACGUAUGUCGCGAGCGUUAUCCGGAAUUAUUGGGCUUAAAGGGCAUCUAGGCGGUUAAACAAGUUGAAGGUGAAAACCUGUGGCUCAACCAUAGGCUUGCCUACAAAACUGUUGAACUAGAGUACUGGAAAGGUGGGUGGAACUACACGAGUAGAGGUGAAAUUCGUAGAUAUGUGUAGGAAUGCCGAUGAUGAAGAUAACUCACUGGACAGAAACUGACGCUGAAGUGCGAAAGCUAGGGGAGCAAACAGG
Molecule: ribosomal RNA, 405 nt
Filed under: Verrucomicrobiota bacterium
Lineage: Bacteria; Pseudomonadati; Verrucomicrobiota
Description: Verrucomicrobia bacterium partial 16S ribosomal RNA
Rfam family: Bacterial small subunit ribosomal RNA
Source: RNAcentral